AACUUAAAGGAAUUGACGGGGGAGCACCACAACGGGUGGAGCUUGCGGUUUAAUUGGAUUCAACGCCGGAAAUCUUACCGGGACCGACAGCAAUAUGAAGGCCAGGCUGAAGACUUUGCCGGAUUAGCUGAGAGGUGGUGCAUGGCCGUCGUCAGUUCGUACUGUGAAGCAUCCUGUUAAGUCAGGCAACGAGCGAGACCCACGCCCACAGUUGCCAGCGUACUCUCUGGAGUGACGGGUACACUGUGGGGACCGCCGCUGCUAAAGCGGAGGAAGGAAUGGGCAACGGUAGGUCAGUAUGCCCCGAAUAUCCCGGGCUACACGCGAGCUACAAUGGUUGGUACAAUGGGUAUCUACCCCGAAAGGGGACGGGAAUCUCCUAAAACCAAUCCUAGUUCGGAUUGAGGGCUGCAACUCGCCCUCAUGAAGCUGGAAUCCGUAGUAAUCGCGUUUCAACAGAACGCGGUGAAUACGUCCCUGCUCCUU
RNAcentral lists this ribosomal RNA (486 nucleotides) under uncultured Methanosaeta sp. RNAcentral describes it as "bacterial SSU rRNA". It matches the Rfam family "Archaeal small subunit ribosomal RNA", at positions 853 to 1338 of the family's 1478-position model. The record is from RNAcentral. Lineage: Archaea; Methanobacteriati; Methanobacteriota; Methanomicrobia; Methanotrichales; Methanotrichaceae.